Molecule: non-coding RNA, 75 nt
Organism: Podarcis lilfordi (Lilford's wall lizard)
Lineage: Eukaryota; Metazoa; Chordata; Lepidosauria; Squamata; Lacertidae
Source: the annotation of a GenBank genome assembly
GUCUCGGCCAUGGCUCAGUGGCAGAGCAUCUGCCUUGGAUGAAGAAGGUCCCAGGUUCAAUUGCUGGGAAAGACU